UCGUGGUUGAAGCAGUCAUACAGGAAUUUUUAUUCCUCUAAACAGCUUUAGGGAAAGUCCCCGGACUCUUGCGUCUUGAUCUCCAUGGAGAUUGGGACAGGCGGUAACGUGCUGACUUGAAGAAUCAGCGGUUUCAUUAAUGGCGCUAGUUUUUCCUUUAGCCUUUGUACUUUAAACCUCAAGAGAUAUAACUCCUUGUCCAGAAUGGAGUAGAUAAGGAAUACAGUCUAUGAGUUGUGUUUCUUGAGCGUCUAGUGUACGAACGGUAUGGUUGAUUACGCCAUUUCUGAAUUGUGGUUUUUCGUCGUAGUUGAUAGUUAUACGGUCGCAUCCAUUUGUUGAUGUAUCACAAUGGGGCUUAGUCUCGUGCUCAAAGGUUUUUUUCCUUAAAGAAAAAGGUUUGAAAAUUUGGUUUACUCUGUCGGAGUGCUUGUUCGAAUCAAGCCAGACCUACUUUUAGUUAGCAUAUUAUUAAAUGUAGCUUUUCCCAAAAUAUGAUGAUCGACAAAUACAAAGAGUCAAGCACUGAAACGCGAUAGCGUCUUGUUGAGUUAUUUGGUCUGAUUUUGGUAUUCAUAUAAGUUUUUUGUUUCUAGAGCUGUUUUACGUUAUUUAAUGAAUUAUGUUUUCUUGUAA
Molecule: unclassified non-coding RNA, 636 nt
Filed under: Schizosaccharomyces pombe (fission yeast)
Lineage: Eukaryota; Fungi; Ascomycota; Schizosaccharomycetes; Schizosaccharomycetales; Schizosaccharomycetaceae
Description: intergenic RNA (predicted)
Rfam family: RNase MRP (bases 1-374)
About the family: RNase MRP is an enzymatically active ribonucleoprotein with two distinct roles in eukaryotes.
Source: RNAcentral